This 599-nucleotide long non-coding RNA is filed under the name Homo sapiens (human). RNAcentral's name for it is "non-protein coding lnc-AFG3L2-6:6". Lineage: Eukaryota; Metazoa; Chordata; Mammalia; Primates; Hominidae. The record is from RNAcentral.
AGUUCCCGGGUCCCUCGGCCACCGAAGCCACCCUGCCCUGGUGAAAGGGCUCCCGCACCGCCCGGUGCUCCCCAUCUGCCUGGCGUUGUGCGCAGAGCUGGAAAGCAUGGCUGUUAUAAAUGAAUUCUGAUUUUGGGGAGCAGAUGCCAACUUAGAGCCUCGUACCAAUCUCUCUGUCUUUAAAAGAUGAGGUGACUUGGUGAUUUUCCUGGAAAAUUAUAGGUAAUAUAUAAUCUAGCUUCCAUAUUUUACGGAUAUGUCUGGAGGUACCAGAGAGGUGCAUCUCUGCCUUUCCAUCCUAGGCCAGCCUGAACUGUCUUGUGGAAGCUGUACACUGUUCCUGCUGGGUUAUCGUUUGAUGAUCUUAAUAAGACUGAUAAAUUGAACUUGGGAGUGAAAACAGUAACACUUUAAGAAAUUUUGAAUUUUAAGGCUGAGGACUAGGCUCUGAUUUUUUUUCUAUCCUCACAGAAGCACUGAGGUGGACACUGCGGGUUGUGAGGUUCAGGAGGGGUAAGUGGCUGGCACAAGGUCACAGAGCAGCGCUGCCAUUUGGCUACUUUCCAAUUCAGCAUAGCUGCCCUCUCUGCUGGUGGUAU